AUUCAUAAAACCGAGGCCGAGAGGAAGAGGGAGGCGGCCUCCGACCCGCCGCCAGCGGCGGGCAGCGCCCGGACUUUGUGAAUGGAGCGCGCGGCGCCUUUCGCCGUCUACCCGCGGGCCCAGCCUGCGCCGCGCCUCCAGCCCGACACCGGCACCUGUGCCGCCGCUGCACCCCGCCGCUAGGCGGGCGGCGCCAAAGGAAAUAGCCGGCUGAGGAGGCCAGGGCUCGGGUUUGAGCUUUCAUCCCUUGGCACCUUCGCGCUUCCCCGCGUGACAGCCCCGUAGGUUUUUCCCGGUUACCCAAGUGGAGAGGGGACCGGAGCGCUGCUGCCCACCCAGCGGGGCCUGACACCUCCUAGCCCCAGACUCCCCGUGCGCUUUCGGCCCGGCCAGUCCUUUCUGAAUAUGCGAUUCCUGAGACGUUAGCGUAUGCAUUAGCGUGAUCGAUUUUCAUCUAAAGCCAUUAAAUCAGUUUUAUAGCUUCCCCAAGAACGUGGGCAACCCCCUGCUUGGAAGAUGAAAGAGAAAGUCCUCCCGCCCGAAGCCCAGGAUCGGAGUGAGGACAACAAAAUGUCUAAAUCACCUUUCCAAGGCUUCAACAAUGAAUGUAUUUUCCAAAUCAAUGUUGGAGUACAUGGUCAGAAAAGAUGUCUUUUGGACUUGUGAAAUUACUUAUAUAAAAAUUCUUACCAAGAUGGAAGCAUAAAAAACACAUUUAUUUAUAUGUUUACUAAAUCUUCUUUUAUUGAAAACAAUAAGACAACCUGAAAGCAAGUCUAUCAGAGAAAAUCUGGGACUUAUGUCUUCACUGACAAAAUAAUAAAUGAGACAAAGUGAUAGAAGACCUUUGUCAUGACACCUGUUUGCUACCAGAGCCCCAGGCCAUCGUCAUCCACUGAUGUCUCCACAUUAAUUCUGCAGAGGUCCUGGACAGUCUUCUCUGCCCUGUCUAAUGGUCAGUUAAUUCUCCUUGUAAGCACAUCAUGGCUGACCAGGUGCUGGACCGCGCAAAGAAAGGUGUCAGAGCUUUCAGCUUAAGCCUUGAUUGGGUGGUGAGUAGGUCUCCUGCAGCUAAUCAGUGGCUUUAGAAACCCUGGAGUCCUUCAGAAACCCUAAAGUUCUUCCUUCUGAUUUUUCUGGUAGACCAAAGGAAAAGGCCAACAACAAACAAUUUCUAAAUAAGAAAUUUCCACCUUAGCUAAAAGCAAAAGGCCUUUGAUACUCUAUAAGAUUGAUCAACUCACUUCAGUUGAAAUAAUGGUUUUCUGAAGUCAAGGCAUGAACAGCCUUUCCCCACUGGAUGGGAUGCUCAGAUUACCAGCCCUGGAAUGAAACAAAAGGAGAAGACUGUCUCACCCCACACUUCUCAACCAUUGGCCAUUCUGAGAUGACACCUGCAGAGCCACAGCCCCACCUGCCCGAGCACCCACGGGUGCCUUGGUCAUCCUGCACCAUGGAGCUGCUUGUCUCUCCUCUGUACUCACAAUGCUGUGUGUCCUCUCUGUUGCACCUAAAACUCUUCAUCAAGUAACCAGGCGAAGAGGUCUGUCUUCUCUUCCAGAAGCCCAAGAUCCCUUUUCCAAGGACUGUCUGGAUGCCCCUGCCUUGAAUCUGAGUUUUAUCUUCUGCAGACCUGGGCUUAAUUUGCUGCUCUGAAAAAGGACACAGGCUCUGUAGCCAGACAGAUGUGGGUUUUGAUGCCAGAGCCACCGUUUAAGUAGCUGGGGAACUUUGGGUACGUUUCUGGCCAUUGCUUUUCACAUCUUGUCACUGGGAAUGUUAUUAUUAUUUUAUCUAUUUUUUUUUUUGAGACGGAAUCUUGCUUUGUUGCCCAGGCUAGAGUGCAGUGGCUCUAUCUCAAUUCACUGCAAGCUCCGCCUCCCGGGUUCACUCCAUUCUCCUGCCUCAGCAUUCCAAGUAGCUGGGACUACAGGUGCGCACCACCACGCCCGGCUAACUUUUUGUAUUUUUAGUAGAGGCGGGUUUUCACAGUGUUAGCCAGGAUGAUCUCGAUCUCCUGACCUCCUGAUCCGCCCGCCUCGGCCUCCCAAAGUGCUGGGAUUACAGACGAGAGCCACCACGCCCAGCCAGGAAUGUUAUUAACACCUAGAUUCAUCAUUGGGAACAUUUUCAAAAAAUGUAUUAUUAUUCCUUAUUCCUUUCUCUUAGACAAUUUUUUCUUUUUAAGCUGAGAGGUGUCAAUAGGGCAACAUUUCUGAUUUAUACAUUGUUUUCUCCAUGGAGUUGCAUUUGGCAAAACUCCAGGUGCAUGGAAACACACAGGUGGGUCUUUGUGCCAUCAGGCUGGGCUGCUCAGUGGGCCCAGCUGUUAGUCCACGUGUUUGCCUGUGGGUCAACAGAACAGGAAAGGCUCCUGGAUUCUCUCUGUUGCUUUCCAUCCACCUGGACUGCUCCACCUCCUAUCCUCUCUGUCUCCUUGAUUCAACUCGAUGCUACCCUCAUUUAUCCAAGCAGAGAAAGGUGCUCCUUUCCUCUUUUAGUUUUCUCUCACCCUUCCUUCUUUUCACAUCUAUUUCUUACUGUUUCCUGCACAGUGCUUGUCUUUUCUCUGACAUUGUAUGAGCAAUUUCUUUGAUACAAUGGUAGUCUCCAAUUAUGCUACUGGGCAAGCCAGCCUAGAGGUUGUGGAACAGAAAGGCUCUCAGACCAACUUAAGUCACUCAUAUCGCAAGUUUUAUUGAAUCAGCUGAAAAUAUCCAGUACUUUCAAGGGGAAAGAUGUGAGAAAGGUUCACCCACUUAGCUUAAGGUGCAAGCAGGUGGCAGGACCACACGACCCGAUCCUCAGUGACUCAGUGUUCAUGUGACCGGUGUUCUCUUCUACAUUGACCUUCCAAGCUCAUGGGGUAGUUACUUUGGAACAAGGAGGCUCUGCAGAGAAAACUGCCUGAAGCCAAAAUGAUCUUGCUCUACCAGAGAGAUAAAGGGGCAAGUAUGCCUGGCCAAUAAAGAGCUUGCUAAACAGCCAUUGCUUUUCUCUGUGUUUCUAGACAAAGCUCAUGUGGGGAGAGAUGGGAUUAAUGUAGUUUCACCAAUGAUGGCUGAUUCAGCAAUAAUGUGCCUGUCAUAUAGAGGUGGCAUAAUACACACGUUGUAACUUGGCCUGUUCAUCUUUUUUCUGACUUUAAGUGUCAGAGGCAUGUGAACCAGAGCAACUCCAUCUUAACUCGGAGCUGGGUAAAAUGAGGCUGAGACCUACGGGGCUGCAUUCCCAGUUGGUUAAGGUAUCCUAAGUCCCAGGAUGAGACAGAAGGUCAGCAUAAAAUACAGGUCAUAAAGAUCUUGCUGAUGAAACAGGUUGCAAUACAGAAGCUGGCUAAAACCCACCAAAACCAAGAUGGCCAAGAGAGUGACCUCUGGUCUUCCUCACUGCUACAUUCCCACCAGCACCAUGACAGUUUACAAAUGCCAUGGCAACAUCAGGAAGUUAACCUUUAUGAUCUAAAAAGGGGAGGCAUGAAUAAUCCACCCCUUUUUUAGCAUAUGAUCAAGAAAUAACCAUAAAAAUGGGCAGCCAGCAGCCCUCGGGGCUGCUCUACCUAUGGAUCAGCCACGCUUGUAUUCCUUUACUUUCUUAAUAAAUUUGCUUUCACUUUGCUCUAUGGACUUGCCCUGAAUUCUUUCUUGUGCAAGAUCCAAGAACUCUCUCUUGGGGUCUGGAUUGGGACCCCUUUCCUGUAACGUAAGCAACAUUUUUAUUUGUUCUAUUCUUUUUUAAGAAUUGUGAUAUAACACACAGAACAUAAACUUUACUGUGUUGAUGAUGUUUGAGUAUAAUUCAGCGGCAUUAAGCGCAUUCACACUGUUGUGCAACCAUUACCACUGUCCAUUUUCAGAACUUUUGCAUCACCCCAGACUAAAAACUGUGUGCAUUAAACACUAACUCCCCACUCCCCUCCCCUUAGCCCCUAGUAAUCUCGAUUCUACUUUCUGUCUCUAUGAAUUUGCCUAUUCUGGAUACCUCAUAUAAGCAAAAUCAUACAGGAUUUGUCCUUUUGUGUCUGGCUUAUUUCAAUACUUGGCAUAAUGUUUUCAAGUUCACCCAUGUUGUAGCAUGUAUCAAAAUUUUAUUCCAUUUUAGGGUUGAGUAAUAUUCCAUCAUUUGUGUAUACCAUAUAUUUUUUAAUUCACUCAUUUGUUGAUGAACAUUUGAGUGGUUUCUUUCUUUUGGCUAUUGUGAGUGAUGCUGCUACAAACAUGGAUGUUCAGGUAUCUGUUUGAGUCUCUGCUUUCAUUUCUUUGAGAGUAUAUACCUAGAAGUGGAAUUGCUGGGUCCUAUGGUAAUUCUGCUUAAAUUUUUGAGAGACCACCGGUUUCAUCCUUUUUUAAAAUCAGUGUUCAAUAUUCACAUAUUCUGUUUAUUUCUAUGGCUAACAUUAGUUUUUCUUAUUUUUUUAUAGCAAAAUUAAGUAUUCCUAAAUAUUGCAGCCAAUUCACCUUACAACCCCUUCCCAUAUUAUCUACCCAGCAGGCACUGUAAGGUCUGUUCUUGGAUACUGACAAACAUUCUGCAAUCCUCAGUCCACAGCUGUACACCAAAUAUUUGGAACAGAGAUCAGUUAACUGAUUAAUUACUAUGACUUUGUGCUCGGGGAACAUGCCAAGCACCAAUCCCCCACCUUCCCCACCCUGCCUGUGUCUCUGUUCCCUUUGUGUUCCCUACAUUCUUUCAAAUACCUGCAAAUCCACCUUCUCUACCACGCAUCAAUGUUGCUGGCUUCCAUUUCUUAUUGAUUUUGUAUGACUUUGAGGUUUCCUGCCUGGGUACCCAGGACCAUGACUCUCUCUCUGGAGAUACCCAUCCUGACUGAUACACCCUAGCCACCUCCCUUUACGCUCCCUCUACUCCAUCCUCAGUCCAAGAGCUUCAGGCACUCCAGUCCUGCCCCAGAGACGCAGGUUUCAUCCUCUCGCAUGCUUUGCAGGAACUUCUUUAUUUUAUUGU
RNAcentral lists this long non-coding RNA (4965 nucleotides) under Homo sapiens (human). Its description in RNAcentral is "non-protein coding lnc-HMBOX1-12:5". The record is from RNAcentral. Lineage: Eukaryota; Metazoa; Chordata; Mammalia; Primates; Hominidae.